Molecule: ribosomal RNA, 458 nt
Filed under: uncultured Thioalkalispira sp.
Lineage: Bacteria; Pseudomonadati; Pseudomonadota; Gammaproteobacteria; Chromatiales; Thioalkalispiraceae
Description: bacterial SSU rRNA
Rfam family: Bacterial small subunit ribosomal RNA
Source: RNAcentral
CACAAGCGGUGGAGUAUGUGGUUUAAUUCGAUGCAACGCGAAAACCUUACCUGCCCUUGACAUCCUCGGAACUUGUCAGAGAUGACUUGGUGCCUUCGGGAACCGAGAGACAGGUGCUGCAUGGCUGUCGUCAGCUCGUGUCGUGAGAUGUUGGGUUAAGUCCCGUAACGAGCGCAACCCUUGUCCAUAGUUGCCAGCACGUAAAGGUGGGAACUCUAUGGAGACUGCCGGUGACAAACCGGAGGAAGGUGGGGAUGACGUCAAGUCCUCAUGGCCUUUAUGGCCAGGGCUACACACGUACUACAAUGGCCGGUACAAAGGGCAGCGACAUUGCGAGAUGGAGCGAAUCCCGAAAAGCCGGUCUCAGUCCGGAUUGGAGUCUGCAACUCGACUCCAUGAAGUUGGAAUCGCUAGUAAUCGUGGAUCAGCAUGCCACGGUGAAUACGUUCCCGGGCCUU